Molecule: ribosomal RNA, 253 nt
Filed under: uncultured bacterium
Lineage: Bacteria
Description: partial 16S ribosomal RNA
Rfam family: Bacterial small subunit ribosomal RNA
Source: RNAcentral
UACGUAGGGCGCAAGCGUUAUCCGGAAUUAUUGGGCGUAAAGAGCUCGUAGGCGGUUUGUCGCGUCUGCCGUGAAAGUCCAGGGCUCAACCCUGGGAUGCCGGUCGAUACUGCCGGACUAGAGUUCGGAAGAGGCGAGUGGAAUUCCCGGUGUAGCGGUGAAAUGCGCAGAUAUCGGGAAGAACACCUAUGGCGAAGGCAGCUCGCUGGGACGUUACUGACGCUGAGACGCGAAAGCGUGGGGAGCAAACAGG